CCUGAGGGAUUUGGAGUCCCCCCGGGCUCCCCUGUGGGGUUCCCUGAGGGCUUUGGGGUCUCUUCCCGGUUCCCUGAGGGAUUUGGGGUCCCCCCCCCCUCGUUCCCUCGAAGUUUUGGUCCCCCCACUUCCCUAUGGGGUUCCCUGGGGGCUUUGGGGACCCCCCAAGUCCCCUAUGGGGUUUCCUGGGGGCUCAGGGGUCUCCCCAUGGCUCCCUAUAGGGUUCCCUGAGGGAUUUGGGGCCCCCCCUGGUUCCCUGGGGGUUUUGGGGACCUCUCAGUCCCCUGUGGGGUUCCCUGAGGGCUUUGGGGUCCCUUCCCACUUCCCUGAGAGAUUUGGGGUUCCCCCCUCGUUCCCUCGAGGUUUUGGUCCCCCCCCACUUCCCUACGGGGUUCCCUGGGGGCUUUGGGGACCCCCCCCCAGUCCCCUAUGGGGUUCCCUGAGAGCUCAGGGGUCUCCCCAUGGUUCCCUAUGGGGUUCCCUGAGGGAUUUGGGGUCCCUUCCCACUUCUCUGAGGGAUUUGGGGUCCCCCGGGCUCCCCUUUGGGAUUCCCUGAGGGAUUUGGGAUCUCUUCCCACUUCCCUGAGAGAUUUGGGGUCCCCCCUCGUUCCCUCGAGGUUUUGGGGGCCCCCCCCCCACUUCCCUACGGGGUUCCCUGGGGGCUUUGGGGACCCCCCCAAGUCCCCUAUGGGGUUUCCUGGGGGUUCAGGGGUCUCCCCAUGGCUCCCUAUGGGGUUCCCUGAGGGAUUUGGGGUCCCCCCUGGGUCCUUGGGGGUUUUGGGGACCUCUCAGUCCCCUACGGGGUUCCCUAAAGGAUUUGGGGUCCCUCCAUGGUUCCCUAUGGGAUUUCCUGAGGGAUUUGGAGUCCCUUCCCACUUCCCUGAGGGAUUUGGGGUCCCCCGGGCUCCCCUGUGGGGUUCCCUGAGAGCUCUGGGGUCCCCACCACUUCCCUAUGGGGUUCCCUGAGGCAUUUGGGGUCCCCCCAUGGUUCCCUGUGGUGUCCCUGGGGACAUUGGGGUCCCUCCUGGUCCCCUCGGGGCUUUGGGGACCCCCCAGUCCCCUUUGGGGUCCCCUGAGGGCUUUGGGGUCUCUCCCCGCUUCCCUAUGGAAAUCCCUGAGGGAUUUGGGGUCCCCCCCUGGUUCCCUGGGGGUUUUGGGGACCCCUCAAUUCGCUGUGGGGUUCCCUGAAGGCUUUGGGGUCCCUCCAGUCCCCCCCCCCGGGUCCCCCAUGGCCUCCCCCCGGAUUUGGGCCGCUCCGCAGGUCCCC
RNAcentral lists this long non-coding RNA (1267 nucleotides) under Apteryx haastii (Great spotted kiwi). RNAcentral describes it as "lncRNA (ENSAHAG00000001145.1)". Lineage: Eukaryota; Metazoa; Chordata; Aves; Apterygiformes; Apterygidae. The record is from RNAcentral.